Parasteatoda tepidariorum (common house spider) is the source of this 3691-nucleotide long non-coding RNA. RefSeq lists it as uncharacterized. The record is from RefSeq and is a predicted model, not a curated record. Lineage: Eukaryota; Metazoa; Arthropoda; Arachnida; Araneae; Theridiidae.
AUAUUGUUAUAUACCUGCUUCUUCUUCUUCAGCACGACAGCCCCUUACAGGCUUCGGCUGCCUCAACAACACGUAGCCUCCAACGCCUCCUGUCCAAGGCGACUUUUUUCCAGUAGUUUAUCUUCAAUAGUUUUAGAUCUUUAGCAGUGUCAUCUAGCCGUCUAGUUGGAGGUCUUCCUCUAGCCCGAGAUCCCGAAGGAUUUUUAGUUAUAUGCCUGCAGCAACUCCAUACUCGCCAAUUCCUAAGAAGUGAAAACGGAAAUAAUUAUGAGAAAUAUAUCAUUAUCAUGAGAAAGAUAUAAACUUUUUGUGAAAUUUGUGCCUUUUCCCAACAUAUGAAUAGACAUUGUGUAGCGGCAGCGAUAGCUCUCUCUAAAUCUUACUGGAUGCAAACUGUUCACAAAAUCUUUGGGUGUUGAUGUUUGUGCUUUUAGAAGCCAAAAAAGAAGAAGAAAAAAAUAGUUCAUUUAUUGAGUGAAUCUUUUUUCCACUAAGUUAAAUCUUUUCCCUCUCUGGGUAUUUAGAUACUAACUACACUCUUUAAAUUUUAUAUAAAAGCUCAAUUUGUGAUUAAUUGAAAAUUAAGUGUUCCUUUUACCCAAUUUUUUGAGUAGUUCACAGUCAAAUUUGAAGAGACAUUACACAACAAUUUUAACAAUGUGGCUCCAUGUGCCCGCAGUUCUGUUGAACAACUGUGAAGCUCAAAAAUGGUUAUUAGAUCUUAGUACUUUACUUAGUACUUACUUUAGUUUUAAGAAAAUCCACUAAAUUGUUUCAAGUGACCAAAAAAAAAAAGUUGCUAAUAUGAAUCACCUUGGAGAUGUUACAAAAGCAGUGCUUAGAAGAUAGUGAAAAAUACAUAAAAAAUAUUUAUUUUUCCUAAUAGUUUACGCUUUUACUCUCAGUAAAACAAAAACAACAGUAUGCAGUUUGCUCUGGGUCGAAGGUUACGACGGCGAAACUGCACGAAUUAGUCUUUUAAUUACUAACCAACCCACUGUAUAUCCAGAUAUGGCCUUUUGGACUGUGACAAACAAAAAUGGUUUUUUUUUCUAUCUAGGGAAAAAUAUACAAAUUACGAGGUCAUAUUGGAGAUAAAAAGUUUACUUGCAGAUCUCGAGAAUUUGUUCUAAAAGAAUGACAUCAAAAUAUUGGAAUGAAUAAAUCGCUCAUAAAGGAGAUUAUGUUGAUAAACAAAAUCAAAUUUUUUUAUCUAUUUUUUUGUAAAAAAAACAUAUUUGAAAAAAAUAUGUUAAAAAAAAUAUUAGUAAUAAAAUAAAUGCUUUCAAAAUAUGUAAAAAAUAUAUCAGUAGUGAGACUGGGGUCUUAUAGUCGAUAUGGUUUGUUCAUCUUAUUUUUCUUAUUAAAUUUUGGAGGUUAGAAGAAUUGGAUAAGAAUUUUAUCUAGCAUUUAUUUCUAAAGCUGAACUCCCGAUACUUAAUUGAAAUUGGAUACUAUCAAUAAUAUAAUCCCUAAUUUGCCUAUAAAUGUAAGCUUUAAUCAAGUUUCAAAUCUUUUACUUUUUUAAAAAUAAAACGGAAAUGUUAAAAGAAAAAUAUUUCAAAAGACAUCCAAUUUUCACAUUUGUUCAAACAUACUUAAAAGUAAAUUUCUUAAAGUCAACAUGCCGAUGAUCAAAAACUAUCGAAAAAUUAUCUUCUUUUGGCUUGCCAAAUGAGUAAAUCAAUAAAAAAAAAUAUUUUCAUAGAAAGGAUUUAGAUAUCUUUGAUUUAAAAAUAAUGAGAAGCUGAACACACUUGAUUAACAUUGACACGAAAAAGGAAACACAGAAGUAAAAUAUGUGAUUUUGAGAUUGCAAGAGUCUAACAAUAUUGAUUUUGAUCUCAACUUUUUACAUCUAAAGUUCAUUAUUCCUAUAAAAAAUUUGGAACCAGAUUCUAAUUUUAGUAUAACCAAUAAAGUUCCUUUUUCGUUUCUUAGAUUCUUUUAAUGUCACUUCUUUUAUUUAAAUGUAACAAAGCAAUUCGAGUAGACAGUCUUAAAAAAAGGAAGUAUUGGAUUUCUUUAGAAAACUAUAAUUUCAUGCUACUUUUCGAUAAUCUAAUUUUUUGAGUCUCUGAAAAUCUAGAUUCAAGAAGUUUAUUGCUUAACAAUUGCAUGUAAUGGAGAGUAUGGGACUUCGGAACAUUUUGCGUUGGUGAUUAGGUUGAGAACGUAAAAGAAUAGAAAAGUACUGAAAUAUUUUUUACUAGAUAUACAAAUAAUGAAUUAUAUUACUAUAGUGAAUAAAUAUUACACUAGUGAAUUAUAUUUGUAAUAUACUGAACUAUCUUGUACCAAAUGUUACAAAGUUUAAAGAUUAAUGACUCAAAAUAUUAACCUUAAAUAUGCUAAAUAAUUAAUGCCAACUGUUAUUGUUAAUUAAUAUUGCUAAGUUAUGAAAAACAAUGCAAAAAAUGUAUUUUCACAGGAUAAAUAUACCAUUUUUUUUAUACAAUUUUGAAAUUCUGUCAACAGAAAUACAGGGUGAGAGAAUAAGUAAGUCCAGAAAUAUGAUUCUAACAGUUUAGUCAAGAGAGCGUUGGAAAAUUUGAUAGUUAACUAAAUUUUGCUUUUUUUUCAUAUUCUGUUACAUCACGUGUAAUUUUAAGCGAAUUAAAAAGAUUGGGAUCAUAUUUUUAAGGCUUAUUUAUCUAAAGGCAUUGCCAUGUAACGAAAUCAUUAGUAAUUUCUUAUUAUUUUAUGAAGUGAUGUGCGAAAAAUAUUGAAAAGUUUGAAUUUAUAGGAAAUAACAUACAUCUUAAAAUCAUUUUAAGCAGUGCACUUUAAAAGUCAAAGUGCAAACUUUGAAUGAAAUUGGUUAUAUAGCUUCUGAGUUACAACAGUUUGAAGAAAAAUAGCAUAUUUGAAUUUUCCUUUUUCCUUAUAUUUCGAUAAAAAAAUCAUUAUUGUGGACACAGAUGUGUUGUUUCCCUUUCAAAGUUUCCGAUACAAGAUAAGUUAAAAACAAAGUUGUUAUUAAGUAAUCCAAAACUUUGACCUCUAUUAUGGCUAACCAAUUGCGUUCGUAUUUCGAUAUUAUGUUUUCCUCCCAUAUUCUGAUGAUUGAAUUUUUACUGAUAUAGAUAAAGGGUAUGUUUAUACAGAUAAAAUAAGUAGUUCCAUAUUUUUAAAUAAAUUAAUCGUAGGCUUAAACUUGUUCGCAUAUUUAAGAUAAACCAUUCAAAUCAUUAUAAUUAACCUUUCUGACAUGAAAUUCUAACAUUUAAUAGCAUAACAUUUUGUAUAGUAUACGUUAUCCAGAUUUAUUCCUCAUCGUCGCAUCGCACAGUAAAAAAUUUUUUCAUCCGUUUAGCAUUAUACAUUAUUGCGAUUAAUACAGAUUUUUCUAACGAUUUCAAAGAUAAAAUCUAUGUAUUUUGCCAGCUUACAGCUCAUGAAAAAUGAGUUUCAUUCGGAAUUUAUGGCUCACAUUUAUUUUUUAUUUAUCUUCCGUUUCCUACAUUAGGUUAGAAAAAACACGCAUAUUCAAGACUUGUGGAUUUGGUGCAACUUAAAAAAGUAUUUUGAAGAGCAUGUAAAACGCCCAUCUCUUCUGUUGAUUCUCAAACUAUUAAGGGUUGAAUCUAUUAAAUUAAAUCCUAUAUUGGAUGACAAUUCAUCAAGAAUAUUACAAUUUGAUGGAAAUUUUACAUAGUACGGAUGAAUAAAAAUAUGUAUUGAAAACUUU